UACAGAGGGGGCGAGCGUUGUUCGGACUUACUGGGCGUAAAGCGCGCGUAGGCGGCCCGGUAAGUCCGCUGUGAAAGUCAAAGGCUCAACCUUUGAAUGUCAGCGGAUACUGCCGGGCUAGAGUCCGGAAGAGGCGAGUGGAACUCCUGGUGUAGCGGUGGAAUGCGCAGAUAUCAGGAAGAAUACCAACGGCGAAGGCAGCUCGCUGGGACGGAACUGACGCUGAGGCGCGAAAGCGUGGGGAGCGAACAGG
Molecule: ribosomal RNA, 253 nt
Filed under: uncultured bacterium
Lineage: Bacteria
Description: partial 16S ribosomal RNA
Rfam family: Bacterial small subunit ribosomal RNA
Source: RNAcentral